Molecule: ribosomal RNA, 412 nt
Filed under: uncultured bacterium
Lineage: Bacteria
Description: bacterial SSU rRNA
Rfam family: Bacterial small subunit ribosomal RNA
Source: RNAcentral
AACGAACGCUGGCGGCAGGCCUAACACAUGCAAGUCGAACGCUCCGCAAGGGGAGUGGCAGACGGGUGAGUAACACGUGGGAAUCUUCCUAUCGGUACGGAAUAGCUCAGGGAAACUUGGGGUAAUACCGCAUACGCCCGAAAGGGGAAAGAUUUAUCGCCGAUAGAUGAGCCCGCGUCUGAUUAGCUAGUUGGUGAGGUAAUGGCUCACCAAGGCGACGAUCAGUAGCUGGCUGAGAGGAUGACCAGCCACACUGGGACUGAGACACGGCCCAGACUCCUACGGGAGGCAGCAGUGGGGAAUAUUGGACAAUGGGCGCAAGCCUGAUCCAGCCAUGCCGCGUGAGUGACGAAGGUCUUCGGAUUGUAAAGCUCUUUUGCCAGGGACGAUAAUGACGGUACCUGGAGAAUAA